GCCCUUAUGGCGCAGUGGUAACGCGUCGCACUUGUAAUGCGAAGAUCUUCAGUUCAAUUCUGAAUGGGGGCA
This 72-nucleotide transfer RNA is filed under the name Cyphellophora europaea CBS 101466. RNAcentral's name for it is "tRNA-Thr (TGT) (tRNA-Thr-TGT-1-1)". It matches the Rfam family "tRNA". Rfam says of the family: Transfer RNA (tRNA) molecules are approximately 80 nucleotides in length. The record is from RNAcentral. Lineage: Eukaryota; Fungi; Ascomycota; Eurotiomycetes; Chaetothyriales; Cyphellophoraceae.